Pelodiscus sinensis (Chinese soft-shelled turtle) is the source of this 459-nucleotide non-coding RNA. The record is from RefSeq and is a predicted model, not a curated record. Lineage: Eukaryota; Metazoa; Chordata; Testudines; Trionychidae.
GCCGGGGGAGCAGGGUGGUAACCUGUGUGUGUUUCAGGGCACUAGUGAUGAGGAGGACGGAGAUAACGAGGACCCAAAUGAGGCAGAUGGAGGGAACUUACAGGUGGACUCCAUUGAUGCGGAAGCGGAAGCCGGACCGAGAGCUGAGGCUGAGCCCACGCGACCCAAAAGGAGACACAUAGCCACACUGCAGAUCUACAACUGGGAGCUGGAGAAUGAGUUUGACAAUUUUGAAGACUGGCUGUACAUCUUCCCGCUCCAUCGGGGCAAGGCGAGCGAGGACGAGGAGGGAAACGAGGAGGAGAACUUUGUGGGAAAGUACAAGGGUUCGUUCCUGGUUUAUCCCGCGGAGGAGGCAGGUCCGGAGCACAAGAUCUCGCAGGGGGUCCCCAGGAACAGACCCAUCAAGGUGCUUGUCCGAGUUUACAUUGUUAAGGUAAGUGGAGCGGGACGUGGAGA